Molecule: ribosomal RNA, 442 nt
Filed under: uncultured bacterium
Lineage: Bacteria
Description: partial 16S ribosomal RNA
Rfam family: Bacterial small subunit ribosomal RNA
Source: RNAcentral
CCUACGGGAGGCUGCAGUAGGGAAUCUUUCACAAUGGGCGAAAGCCUGAUGGAGCAACGCCGCGUGCAGGAUGAAGGCCUUCGGGUUGUAAACUGCUUUUAUAAGCGAGAAAUAUGAUGGUAACUUAUGAAUAAGGAUCGGCUAACUACGUGCCAGCAGCCGCGGUCAUACGUAGGAUCCGAGCAUUAUCCGGAGUGACUGGGUGUAAAGAGUUGCGUAGGUGGCAUAAUAAGUAGCUAGUGAAAUCUGGUGGCGCAACCAUUCAGACUAUUAGCUAAACUGUUAAGCUCGAGACCGUUAGGGGUAACUGGAAUGUCUAGUGUAGGAGUGAAAUCCGUAGAUAUUAGAAGGAACACCAAUAGCGUAGGCAGGUUGCUGGGACGGUUCUGACACUAAGGCACGAAAGCGUAGGGAGCAAACGGGAUUAGAUACCCCAGUAGUC